Long non-coding RNA from Bubalus bubalis (water buffalo), 2752 nucleotides. RefSeq lists it as uncharacterized. The record is from RefSeq and is a predicted model, not a curated record. NCBI's taxonomy places the organism in Eukaryota, Metazoa, Chordata, Mammalia, Artiodactyla, Bovidae. The transcript has 6 exons.
CUUUCCCUCCCUGACUUUCAGGUUCCUCAUCUUCAAAAGAAAGGGGUUGGCCUAGACCUAGAGGAAAGGGCACAGCUCUGGAGUCAGACAGCUGCAGGUCUGCCUCUUGGCUUGGCCACUGGCCGAUGCCUAACGUUGGACAUUCUCUGAGCCUCAGUUCCCUUGCCUGGAAACUCAAGGACCAUAAUACCUUCCUGACUGAGCUAUCCUGAGGAUUCAAGAGAUACUGUUUUCAAAGUGUCUGGCACAUAGUAGCCAGCAUUCAGGAAACUUUUGUUCCUUUCUGGCAUAAGUCCCUUCCAGCCCUAAAACACUCUGGCUCCGAUCCAGUUCCUUUGUCUUCCAAAUCCAGUCCAUGGCUUGGAAAAAGCCCUAAUUCCCAAUCACUGCGGGAGCACACACACCUGAAUUGCUUCUUUCAGUUUUACAAAUGGCCACUAAAACUUUCUUCCUGGGAAGUAUUUGCCCCAAUUCACCAUCUCUUAAGAGUGUAGAGUCACCGCUUUUUCUUCUCUGACUCCACUAGGAAUUCCCUGCCCCCAGGCGUUGAGAAGGGGGCGGGGAAGGGACAGCCCCGGGGCUGAGCUCCUCUCGGCCUCCUAUUCCCCAUCCUCCAGGUGUCUGUUUGCAAAGCCCAAGAUGUAGCAAGUGUUUCCCGUUGAGGAAAGCACAGACCUAGCUCAUCUUCCAGGCUCUGGCUUUGCGAUUUAGUGGAGCCCAAAAUAGGGUCCCUUGGGGGGCUGGUUUCUUGGUGGUUUGACCAACCUGGCUUGGGUUUGUUUGUGGUGGUCCUUUUUUGGGAACUUCUGGUUCUGAACGCCUUAAUUCCAGGGAAGCUUCAGCUAUAUAUUAUAAAUAUAAUGUAACAUAUAAAGUAACAUAAUGUAAUUUUUAUUUAUUUAUAAUAGUAAUAUAACCACAUGACAGAACCUUUGAAAAGCAGAGAAAAAGAAAAUCCCUCCCUAUUCAGUAUUAAUAACUCUUCAACGCAGACACUGGGUAACUAUGCUCUGAUUGACAGUGAGAGGAAAAAACACUUUCUUCCUUACCCCUUGAGUUUGACUGGACUUCCCUCCUGGCUCAGCCGGAACAAAAGCCAAGUUUGUUAUUUGUUCAUUUCUUGCAUUUGAAGUUCUCCCCCUUGACGUCAUCCUUGGCCUGAAACUCUGCUCAAGUCCUUAACUACCACACGACGGCAACCAGCUACUCCAGUUCUGGAGGCCAAGGGUCUGAAAUCAUGGUGUCAGCAAGGCCAUGUUCCUUCUGAAGCUUCUUGGGGAAGAUCCUGUGUUGGGGUUCUCCAGAGAAACAGAACCAAUAGGACCUGUUGAUCCAUUGCUGUAUCAAUCAAUUAAUUAUAAGGAAUAUGGAGGCUGGCAAGUCCAAAGUCUGCUAAGUGGGCUAGCAAGCUGAAGACCCAGGAGAGCUAAUGUCCCAGUUUUGAGUCUGAAGACAGUCUUCUCUAGAACCAGGAAGAUCCAGGGUCUCGGAUCAAAUCAGAAGGCCAUCUCCUAGAGAACUGUCUUUUGGUUAAGGGAGUCUAGUCUUUUUGUUCUGUAUUCAGACCUUCAGCUGAUUAAAUGAAGCCCAUCUAGAGUAUGGAAGGCAACUUGUUUUAUUCUAAUUCCACCAAUUUACAUAUUAAUCUCACCCAAAACACCCUUACAGAAAUACCCAGAAUAAUGUUUGGCUAAAUAUCUGAGUAUCACAUGGCCCAGCCAAGCUGACACAUGAAAUUAACUGUCACACCUUCCUGGCCUCUUCUAGCUUCUGGUGGCUUCAAGCAUUCAUUGUCUUUUGUCUGCAUGGCUCCAAUCUCUGCCUCUAUCUUCACAUGGCUUUCUCCCCUAUGUGUCCCAAAUCUCCCUCUGUCUCUCAUAAGGCCACCUGUCACUGAACUGAGGGCUCCUCCUAGAUACGGGAUGCAUUCAUCUCAAGAUCCUUAGCCUAAUUACAUCUGCAAAGACCCUUUUUCCAAAUAAGGUCACAAUCACAAUUUCUGGAUGUUAGGACAUGGAUGUAUAUUUGGAGGCGGGGGGAACCGUUCAACCCACUACUGUGGAAUUCUGCCAUGGGAAUCUGAGAAGUUCUGGCAUGGCCACUUCCCUAACUUCAGGUUAAAAGAAAAACAAACCAAACAAAACUGCCUCACAAAGACUCCAGACUAUUAAUAAUCAACCCAGUGCAAGGAGGAUUGGACCAAGUUAAUCCAUUUCUGCAAAAUGCCCAAGGAGCCAGAAUGACUUGGAAAUGAAGGACAAAAGGGACCCUCUGAAGAUUCAAAGACCUCUCAGGACAAUUGAUGCCAAGAAAUGGUCUGAGUUGUGGCAUGUGGGAUCUAGUUCCCUGACCAUGGAUUGAAACUGGGCCCCCUUCAUUGGGAGCAUGGAGUCUUAGCCACUGGACCACCAGGGAAGUCCUUGUGCCCAGCAUUUCUGAGAAACAAUCUACAAGUUGUGGCUGGAGCAGAAUGUGUGAGAGGGGAGCAGAAUACGCUGGCAUGAUGGGAAGCCAGACCACGUGGGGCCUUGUGGACCACGGUUAAGACUUUGGCUUUGACUCGGGAUAAAAUGAAGAACUGUGGCAAAGUGUUGAGCAGGAAUGACAUGGUUUGAUCUGCAAUUGAAAUAGUUCAGUCUGGAUGCUGUGUUUUAUGUUUCCUUUUAUUUUUUUAAAGAAAAUUGAAGUAUAGUUGAUUUACAAUAUUGUGUUUCAGGUGUAUAGUAAAGUGAUUCAGUUUUAUAUACAUUUA